Molecule: ribosomal RNA, 465 nt
Filed under: uncultured bacterium
Lineage: Bacteria
Description: partial 16S ribosomal RNA
Rfam family: Bacterial small subunit ribosomal RNA
Source: RNAcentral
GACGAACGCUGGCGGCGUGCUUAACACAUGCAAGUCGAACGGAAAGGCCCCUUUGGGGGUCCUCGAGUGGCGAACGGGUGAGUAACACGUGAGUAACCUGCCCUUGACUUCGGGAUAACUUCAGGAAACUGGGGCUAAUACCGGAUAGGAAUCCUUGCUGCAUGGUGGGGGUUGGAAAGCUUCGGCGGUUUUGGAUGGACUCGCGGCUUAUCAGCUUGUUGGUGGGGUAGUGGCUUACCAAGGCUUUGACGGGUAGCCGGCCUGAGAGGGCGACCGGCCACCUUGGGACUGGGAUUCGGCCCAGGCCCCCACCGGGGGCAGGCGGUGGGAAUAUUUCCCCAUGGGGCGGAGCCUGAUGCCGCCACGCCGGGGGCGGGAUUGCGGGCCUCGGGUUGUAAACCGCUUUCAGCAGGGGCGAAGCUUGUGGUGACGGUACCUGCAGAAGAAGCACCGGCUAACUACGUG